UACGAGGGGUGCAAACGUUAUUCGGAUUAAUUGGGCGUACAGGGUGCGCAGGCGGUAUGUUAAGUCAACUGUUAAAUCUCCCAGCCUAACUGGGAAUCAGCGGUAGAUACUGGCAUGCUAGAGGGUGGAAGAGAGAAGUGGAAUUCUUGGAGUAGCGGUAAAAUGCGUAGAUCUCAAGAGGAACACCGAUGGCGAAGGCAGCUUCUUGGUCCACAUCUGACGCUCAUGCACGAAAGCGUGGGGAGCAAACAGG
RNAcentral lists this ribosomal RNA (253 nucleotides) under uncultured bacterium. Its description in RNAcentral is "partial 16S ribosomal RNA". It matches the Rfam family "Bacterial small subunit ribosomal RNA", at positions 524 to 776 of the family's 1533-position model. The record is from RNAcentral.